RNAcentral lists this ribosomal RNA (402 nucleotides) under Verrucomicrobiota bacterium. Its description in RNAcentral is "Verrucomicrobia bacterium partial 16S ribosomal RNA". It matches the Rfam family "Bacterial small subunit ribosomal RNA", at positions 355 to 776 of the family's 1533-position model. The record is from RNAcentral. Lineage: Bacteria; Pseudomonadati; Verrucomicrobiota.
UGGGGAAUUUUGCACAAUGGGGGAAACCCUGAUGCAGCGACGCCGCGUGAUUUAGAAGGCCUUCGGGUUGUAAAAAUCUUUUGUAUGGGAAGAAAAUGACAGUACCAUACGAAUAAGGACUGGCUAAUUACGUGCCAGCAGCCGCGGUAAUACGUAAGGUCCGAGCGUUGUCCGGAAUCAUUGGGCGUAAAGGGUACGUAGGCGGGUAAGCAAGUUAGAAGUGAAAUCCUGUAGCUCAACUACAGUAAGCUUUUAAAACUGCUCAUCUUGAGAUAUGGAAGGGAAAGUGGAAUUCCUAGUGUAGCGGUGAAAUGCGCAGAUAUUAGGAGGAAUACCGGUGGCGAAGGCGACUUUCUGGCCAUAAUCUGACGCUGAGGUACGAAAGCGUGGGUAGCAAACAGG